Molecule: ribosomal RNA, 740 nt
Filed under: Microbacterium aerolatum
Lineage: Bacteria; Bacillati; Actinomycetota; Actinomycetes; Micrococcales; Microbacteriaceae
Description: bacterial SSU rRNA
Rfam family: Bacterial small subunit ribosomal RNA
Source: RNAcentral
CUCUUUUAGCAGGGAAGAAGCGAGAGUGACGGUACCUGCAGAAAAAGCGCCGGCUAACUACGUGCCAGCAGCCGCGGUAAUACGUAGGGCGCAAGCGUUAUCCGGAAUUAUUGGGCGUAAAGAGCUCGUAGGCGGUUUGUCGCGUCUGCUGUGAAAUCCCGAGGCUCAACCUCGGGCCUGCAGUGGGUACGGGCAGACUAGAGUGCGGUAGGGGAGAUUGGAAUUCCUGGUGUAGCGGUGGAAUGCGCAGAUAUCAGGAGGAACACCGAUGGCGAAGGCAGAUCUCUGGGCCGUAACUGACGCUGAGGAGCGAAAGGGUGGGGAGCAAACAGGCUUAGAUACCCUGGUAGUCCACCCCGUAAACGUUGGGAACUAGUUGUGGGGUCCAUUCCACGGAUUCCGUGACGCAGCUAACGCAUUAAGUUCCCCGCCUGGGGAGUACGGCCGCAAGGCUAAAACUCAAAGGAAUUGACGGGGACCCGCACAAGCGGCGGAGCAUGCGGAUUAAUUCGAUGCAACGCGAAGAACCUUACCAAGGCUUGACAUAUACGAGAACGGGCCAGAAAUGGUCAACUCUUUGGACACUCGUAAACAGGUGGUGCAUGGUUGUCGUCAGCUCGUGUCGUGAGAUGUUGGGUUAAGUCCCGCAACGAGCGCAACCCUCGUUCUAUGUUGCCAGCACGUAAUGGUGGGAACUCAUGGGAUACUGCCGGGGUCAACUCGGAGGAAGGUGGGGAUGA